Molecule: long non-coding RNA, 292 nt
Organism: Neofelis nebulosa (Clouded leopard)
Lineage: Eukaryota; Metazoa; Chordata; Mammalia; Carnivora; Felidae
Exons: 2
Source: RefSeq, a predicted model, not a curated record
CAUAUGAAUGAGUGAGCCUUAAUAUGAUUCUAGCCCCAGUCAUAAUCUGACUAAAACUGCAUGAGAUACCUGAGCAAGAAUUACCUAGGAAAGCCCAGUCAACACCAAGAAAAAUGAAAGACAGUGGCUAAACCAGAACAUGGAGUGGUAAGAAGAGAUGCAUGAAGAAACAAUUACUACUAAUCCUUGAGCACCAAAUCUGGCUGGGCAAGAGUGGAAGUUGAGGCUGUGUGAAGAGGCAGAAUCUUCUAACCGAGUAUGAGAUUAAAACUUUAAUGUAGUCUGGACUGGA